AGGGUCUGCAUGUCUAGUAUACGCAUUAUACCGCGAAACUGCCAAUGGCUCAUUAAAUCAGUUAUCGUUUAUUUGAUAGUACCUUACUACUUGGAUAACCGUGGUAAUUCUAGAGCUAAUACAUGCUUAAAACCCCGACUCACGGAGGGGUGUAUUUAUUAUAUUAUAAACCAAUGCCCUUCCGGGCUUUUUGGAGAUUCAUAAUAACUUCUCGAAUCGCAUGGUCUUGUGCCGGAUAUGGUUCAUUCAAAUUUCUGCCCUAUCAACUUUCUAUGGCAAGGUCUUGGCCUGCCAUGGUUACAACGGGUAACGGAGGGUUAGGGCUCGACCCCAGAGAAAGAGCCUGAAAAACGGCUACUACAUCCAAAGAAGGCAGCAGGCGCGCAAAUUACCCAAUCCCGAUACGGAGAGGUAGUGACAAUAAAUACUGAUACAGGGCUCUUUUGGGUCUUGUAAUUGGAAUGAGUACAAUUUAAAUCCCUUAACGAGGAACAAUUGGGAGGGCAAGUCUGGUGCCAGCAGCCGCGAAUAAUUCCAGCUCCAAUAGCGUAUAUUAAAGUUGUUGCAAUUAAAAAGCUCGUAGUUGAACCUUGGCCCUGGCUGGCCGGUCCUCCUCACCGCGUGCACUGGUUCGGCCAGGUCUUUCCCUCUGGGGAAUCCCAUGCCCUUCACUGGGUGUGGCGAGUAACCAUGACUUUUACUGUGAAAAAAUUAAAAGUGUUCCAUAGCACGCCCUAUGCUCAAAUACAUUAGCAUGGAAAUAAUAGAAUAGGACGUGUGGUGUUAUUUUUGUUGAAUUUCUAGGACCGAUCAAAAUGAUCAAUAGGGGACAGUCGGGGAUCAUCCACUAUUCAAUUUGUCAAUAGUUGAAAUUUCUUGGAAUUUAUUGAAACACUAAACUACUGUCUAAAAGCAUUUUGCCCAAGGGAUGUUUUUCCAUUAAAUCAGGGAAACGAAAAGUUUAAGGGGGAUCUUAAGAACCCAUCCAGAAUACCCGUCGUAGUUCUUUAAACCAUAAAACUACUGCACGUACUUACGGAAUCCGGAACUAAUGUUUAUUUUUUUUUGAACUCCGUUUCCGGCCAACCUUUAACCAAAAAAAUUCAAAAGGUUUUUUUGGGGGUUCCUAGGAAGGGGAACUAAAGGGUCCGCCAAAGGCUUUGAAAAACUUUUUUAGGAAAAAUUUGGACCCGAAAAGGGCCCACCCACCCCGAAGGGCUUUGGGAAGCCCUUGCCUGUGUUUUAAUUUUUUUGAACUUCCAAAAAAACGGGGGAAAAAAAGUUCCCCCC
Molecule: ribosomal RNA, 1290 nt
Filed under: Ascotricha sinuosa
Lineage: Eukaryota; Fungi; Ascomycota; Sordariomycetes; Xylariales; Xylariaceae
Description: SSU rRNA
Rfam family: Eukaryotic small subunit ribosomal RNA (bases 1-1119)
Source: RNAcentral